GUACCUGGGUCUCUACAUUUCUGUGCUGUUUCAGCUUAAAAUGCUGCCAGCCAGGCUAAUGUUCUCAGUGGUGUUUGAGUGAUGGAACAGGGAGAAAAAUGUGCUUGGUAAGCUGUCAAACAAUUCCUUUUCUGGAACUGCAGUCUCUUCAGGAUCCGACACCUAUGUUAGGAACUGGCACUGUUUCUUGUCUUCAGUAGUGAAAAACAUGUACAAUUUUUUUUUUUUUUUGAGAGGUUAGCUAAAAUCCCUCUCUUCAUGUGAAAUUCAGCUGAAAAGAAGACACUAGUUUUUACUUUUUUUUUUUUUUGCUUAAAUCAGCUACACUAUUAAGUUGAAUAAACCUGUAAUGUCAAAGUAAGGUUUUAGACUGUCUAUAAUGUCAGAAACAUAAUCUUGUCUACUUUAGGCCUUUGUGAUGUGCUCUGCAGCUAAUAAGGUGAUGUUUGAAAUUUC
Molecule: long non-coding RNA, 456 nt
Organism: Neopsephotus bourkii (Bourke's parrot)
Lineage: Eukaryota; Metazoa; Chordata; Aves; Psittaciformes; Psittacidae
Exons: 2
Source: RefSeq, a predicted model, not a curated record